AUUGAACGCUGGCGGCAUGCCUUACACAUGCAAGUCGAACGGCAGCGCGGGAGCAAUCCUGGCGGCGAGUGGCGAACGGGUGAGUAAUACAUCGGAACGUGCCCACUCGUGGGGGAUAACGCAGCGAAAGCUGUGCUAAUACCGCAUACGAUCUACGGAUGAAAGCAGGGGAUCGCAAGACCUUGCGCGCAUGGAGCGGCCGAUGGCCGAUUAGGUAGUUGGUGAGGUAAGGGCUCACCAAGCCUUCGAUCUGUAGCUGGUCUGAGAGGACGACAAGCCACACUGGGACUGAGACACGGCCCAGACUCCUACGGGAGGCAGCAGUGGGGAAUUUUGGACAAUGGGCGAAAGCCUGAUCCAGCCAUGCCGCGUGCAGGAUGAAGGCCUUCGGGUUGUAAACUGCUUUUGUACGGAACGAAACGGUCUUUUCUAAUAAAGAAGGCUAAUGACGGUACCGGAAGAAUAAGCACCGGCUAACUACGUG
RNAcentral lists this ribosomal RNA (484 nucleotides) under uncultured bacterium. Its description in RNAcentral is "partial 16S ribosomal RNA". It matches the Rfam family "Bacterial small subunit ribosomal RNA", at positions 30 to 507 of the family's 1533-position model. The record is from RNAcentral.